Molecule: ribosomal RNA, 497 nt
Filed under: uncultured bacterium
Lineage: Bacteria
Description: partial 16S ribosomal RNA
Rfam family: Bacterial small subunit ribosomal RNA
Source: RNAcentral
GAUGAACGCUGGCGGCGUGCCUAAUACAUGCAAGUCGAGCGAACAGACGAGGAGCUUGCUCCUCUGACGUUAGCGGCGGACGGGUGAGUAACACGUGGAUAACCUCCCUAUAAGACUGGGAUAACUUCGGGAAACCGGAGCUAAUACCGGAUAAUAUAUUGAACCGCAUGGUUCAAUAGUGAAAGACGGUUUUGCUGUCUCUUAUAGAUGGAUCCGCGCCGCAUUAGCUAGUUGGUAAGGUAACGGCUUACCAAGGCAACGAUGCGUAGCCGAACUGAGAGGGUGAUCGGCCACACUGGAACUGAGACACGGUCCAGACUCCUACGGGAGGCAGCAGUAGGGAAUCGUCCGCAAUGGGCGAAAGCCUGACGGAGCAACGCCGCGUGAGAGAUGAAGGUCUUCGGAUCGUAAAACUCUGUUAUUAGGGAAGAACAAAUGUCUAAGUAACUAUGCACGUCUUGACGGUACCUAAUCAGAAAGCCACGGCUAACUACGUG